This 500-nucleotide ribosomal RNA is filed under the name uncultured bacterium. Its description in RNAcentral is "partial 16S ribosomal RNA". It matches the Rfam family "Bacterial small subunit ribosomal RNA", at positions 30 to 523 of the family's 1533-position model. The record is from RNAcentral.
AUUGAACGCCGGCGGAAUGCUUUACACAUGCAAGUCGAACGGCAGCACGGACUUCGGUCCGGUGGCGAGUGGCGAACGGGUGAGUAAUGUAUCGGAACGUGCCCAGUCGUGGGGGAUAACGUAGUGAAAAUUACGCUAAUACCGCAUACGAUCUAUGGAUGAAAGCGGGGGAUCGCAAGACCUCGCGCGAUUGGAGCGGCCGAUAUCAGAUUAGGUAGUUGGUGGGGUAAAGGCCCACCAAGCCAACGAUCUGUAGCUGGUCUGAGAGGACGACCAGCCACACUGGAACUGAGAUACGGUCCAGACUCCUACGGGAGGCAGCAGUGGGGAAUUUUGGACAAUGGGCGAAAGCCUGAUCCAGCCAUUCCGCGUGCAGGAUGAAGGCCCUCGGGUUGUAAACUGCUUUUGUACAGAACGAAAAGGUUUCUACUAAUACUAGGAGCUCAUGACGGUACUGUAAGAAUAAGCACCGGCUAACUACGUGCCAGCAGCCGCAGUAA